AUUGAACGCUGGCGGCAGGCCUAACACAUGCAAGUCGAGCGGAUGAAGGGAGCUUGCUCCUGGAUUCAGCGGCGGACGGGUGAGUAAUGCCUAGGAAUCUGCCUGGUAGUGGGGGAUAACGUCCGGAAACGGGCGCUAAUACCGCAUACGUCCUGAGGGAGAAAGUGGGGGAUCUUCGGACCUCACGCUAUCAGAUGAGCCUAGGUCGGAUUAGCUAGUUGGUGGGGUAAAGGCCUACCAAGGCGACGAUCCGUAACUGGUCUGAGAGGAUGAUCAGUCAACAUGGGAAAGGAGACAGGGCCAGACCUCCAGGGGGGGGAGGAGGGGGGGAAAAUUGAAAAAGGGGCAAAAGCGGGAACAAGCAUGGCCGCGUGGGGAAAGAAGGUAUUGGAAUUGAAAAGCAUUUAAGGUGGGGAGGAAGGGAAGAAAGUAAAUACUUUGCUGUUUUAACGUUCCAAAAAGAAAAAAACCGGGCAACUUUCGUC
Molecule: ribosomal RNA, 485 nt
Filed under: uncultured bacterium
Lineage: Bacteria
Description: partial 16S ribosomal RNA
Rfam family: Bacterial small subunit ribosomal RNA
Source: RNAcentral